ACCAGAGUGGCGGAAUUGGCAGACGCGCUGCGUUCAGGUCGCAGUGGCCGCAAGGCCGUAAGGGUUCAACUCCCUUCUCUGGUACCA
This 87-nucleotide transfer RNA is filed under the name Lentisphaeria bacterium. RNAcentral's name for it is "tRNA-Leu". It matches the Rfam family "tRNA". From Rfam's summary of the family: Transfer RNA (tRNA) molecules are approximately 80 nucleotides in length. Their secondary structure includes four short double-helical elements and three loops (D, anti-codon, and T loops). The record is from RNAcentral. Lineage: Bacteria; Pseudomonadati; Lentisphaerota; Lentisphaeria. RNAcentral also lists the same sequence under 1 other name.